UAUCUACUCCCUCCGUUCCGAAUUACUUGUCUUGGAUUUGUCUAGAUACGGAGGUAUCUAGCACUAAAAUGAGUCUAGAUACAUCUGUAUCUAGACAAAUCCAAGACAAGUAGUUCGGAACGGAGGCAGUAGAAG
Non-coding RNA from Triticum aestivum (bread wheat), 135 nucleotides. NCBI's taxonomy places the organism in Eukaryota, Viridiplantae, Streptophyta, Magnoliopsida, Poales, Poaceae. The record is from Rfam.